AUAUGCUUGUUUCAAGGACUAAGCCAUGCAAGCUGAGAGCACUAUCCAGAUUGGGAAUCUGCAGACGGCUCAUUAAAUCAGUGCUAAUGUACCCGCUCAAGUGGGAUUUCGGUCCUGCCAAUGGCAUAACUUCACCAACUGUGUAGCUAAUACAUGUAUGAGCAGUCUCGCUUUACCUCAGUCACGAUGGGGGUAACCCUUGAGUGAUGAAGUGGGAUGCCAAUGAUUGGGACAAAAACCAGCCCUUGUCACCAAGGAGCUGCCUGUUGACCCAGAUCAUCCGGUCGUAGCGCACAGUCUCUGACUGGCGCAUCGGCGGUCCAAGCACUGACCUAUCAGCUUCUUUGUAGUGUAGUGGACUACAAAGGCUGUCACGGGUAACGGAGAAUAAGGGUUCGAUUCCGGAGAGGGAGCCUGAGAAACGGCUACCACUUCUAUGGAAGGCAGCAGGCGCGCGAAUUGCCCACUCUCGCCGAGAGGAGGCAGCGACAAGAGAUAACAUCUCCUUUCACCUCAGGUGAGUGGAGUUUGUAAUGGAUGUUACACAAACCAUUCAAUGAGUAUCGAUUGGAGGGCAAGUCUGGUGCCAGCAGCCGCGGUAAUUCCAGCUCCAUUGGUGUAUACCAAUGCUGUUGCUGUUAAAAAGCUCGUAGUUGGAUUCAGGGCGCCGGUUGUGGACGGCACGCGGCUCGCCGCUGUGUUGUCUGCAGUAUGCCGGUGCCCUUUUGUCGUGGAUGAGGCUUGCUAACGUCCCAUUAAUUUGGGGUGUAAGCAUCACGUGGGAAUGCCACAAAGGCCCAUCCACGCACGCUACUGUGAACAAAACAGCGUGUUUCAAGCAGUCGUUACGACUUGCAUGACUAAGCAUGGCAUAGCAAGGCAUCGUCCUCUCUCGAUGUCCUUUGCUGGUUUUGACACGGGGGUAGGGAAGUUCAGGAUUGGCCAACUCAGUGGGCUCUCGCUUCGGCGAUCUCGCUGAGACCAAAACCUUUGGUGUCAAUGGUGGCUGGCGGGGAAAUACGUAUUCUCAAACGAGCGGUGAAAUGCUUAGACUUUGGGGGGACGAACCUCCGCGAAGGCAUUUUUCAAGCAUGCCUCCAUCAAUCAAGAACGAAAGUGCUGGGAGCAAAGAUGAUCAGAUACCGUCGUAGUCAGUACUGUAAACGAUGCCAGCUCGGGAUUGGGAAAACUCAAUCAAAUGACUUCCCCUGCACCGCUCCCAAACGAGAAAUCCAAGCUUUCGGGUUCAGGGGGAAGUACAGUCGCAAGGCUGAAACUUAAAAAUUGACGGAAUGGCACCACAAGGCGUGGAAUAUGCGGCUUAAUUUGACUCAACACGGGAAAUGUUACCAGGUCAGGACAUUGCGAGGAUUGACAGAUUGAGAGCUCUUUCAUGAUUCAUUGGAUGGUGGUGCAUGGCCGCUCCUGGUUGGUGGAGUGAUUUGUCUGGUUGAUUCCGUUAACGAACGAGAUCUCUGCCACCUAUCUAGGUCGAAACCUCGCUGUAGGAUCCAGGCCUCCUUCGGGUAGGACUGGUCUGAG
This 1542-nucleotide ribosomal RNA is filed under the name metagenome. Its description in RNAcentral is "bacterial SSU rRNA". It matches the Rfam family "Eukaryotic small subunit ribosomal RNA", at positions 26 to 1401 of the family's 1831-position model. The record is from RNAcentral.